GGACCAAGGAGUCUAACAUAGGUGCGAGUACAAGGGUGGUUGAAACCCGUGUGCGGAAUGAAAGUGAGAGGGGUGGGAAGGCGCGAGCCUGCACCAUCCGCCGACCUUGAUCCUCCGGGAGACAGGUUUGAGUGGGAGCGUAUAUGUUGGGACCCGAAAGAUGGUGAACUAUGCUUGAGUAGGGCGAAGCCAGGGGAAACUCUGGUGGAGGCUCGUAGCGAUUCUGACGUGCAAAUCGAUCGUCGAACUUGGGUAUAGGGGCGAAAGACUAAUCGAACCAUCUAGUAGCUGGUUCCCUCCGAAAUUUCCCUCAGGAUAGCUGCAAUCUGCUGCCACACAGUUUUAUCAGGUAAAGCGAAUGAUUAGAGGCCUCGGGGGCGCAAUGCCCUCGACCUAUUCUCAAACUUUAAAUGGGUAAGAGACCGGGGUCGCUUGAUUGGACCCUGCGUUUGAAUGAAGGUUGCUAGUGGGCCAGCUGGGGUAAGCUCGGCUGGCGAUGCGGGAUGAACCGAACGUCGAGUUAAAGUGCCAAACUGCCCGCUCACCUAGAUCCCACAAAAGGUGUUGGUUCAUCUAG
RNAcentral lists this ribosomal RNA (577 nucleotides) under uncultured stramenopile. Its description in RNAcentral is "LSU rRNA". It matches the Rfam family "Eukaryotic large subunit ribosomal RNA", at positions 663 to 1236 of the family's 3401-position model. The record is from RNAcentral.